Molecule: transfer RNA, 73 nt
Filed under: Odorrana hosii (Mount Dulit frog)
Lineage: Eukaryota; Metazoa; Chordata; Amphibia; Anura; Ranidae
Description: tRNA-Leu
Rfam family: tRNA
About the family: Transfer RNA (tRNA) molecules are approximately 80 nucleotides in length. Their secondary structure includes four short double-helical elements and three loops (D, anti-codon, and T loops). Further hydrogen bonds mediate the characteristic L-shaped molecular structure. tRNAs have two regions of fundamental functional importance: the anti-codon, which is responsible for specific mRNA codon recognition, and the 3' end, to which the tRNAs corresponding amino acid is attached (by aminoacyl-tRNA synthetases). tRNAs cope with the degeneracy of the genetic code in two manners: having more than one tRNA (with a specific anti-codon) for a particular amino acid; and 'wobble' base-pairing, i.e. permitting non-standard base-pairing at the 3rd anti-codon position.
Source: RNAcentral
GUUAAUGUGGCAGAAUAUGGCUAUGCAAAAGAUCUAAGCCCUUUGAACCGGGGUUCAAAUCCCCUCGUUAACU